AGAACAAGACAGCAGACCUUGUGCAAUGCACUCUCCCACGGGCCUCCCAUUCCAAUUUCCCCUUUUUAAGCCUUUCUCCCCAGCCUAAAGUUUUAAGAGGUUUCUGGAGGCGUAAGGAUUCUAUUUAUGUUUAAUGAACAAAAAAAUUAGUUUCAAUGAAAACUUUAUUUGAAAUGAUGAAUUCAAGCUGUUACCAGCCUCCCAAGUAAGAUGCCAGAGACUUCAAACACUGCUGUUGUUUCUCAAGGAAAAGAUCCAGUUAACAAGGAAUCAUUCUCUCUUCUUCAAUAGCUGCUUACGAAAUAAAAACAUCAGUAGGAGGGGAAGGAGGAAGGAAGGAGAAGAAAGAGGAAGAAUAGGAGGAGAAGAGGAAGAGAGGAAGAAGUCGUGAACAGCCCUCCUGCAUUUUGCAUCAGGUAGAAAAGUCAGUUGAAUGUUGGGAAGAACACAAAUACUCACACAUUCCUCCCCAUUCUCUGAAUUCCCACAAAGACUGUUAUUGCUGGGGCUCAUAAAAUUAUACCCCAAAGUAUGAUGCUUUGGCAUCCAGAGUGCUUUGAACUAUAGGAGAUUGAAGGCCCCAGAAGCCAAGUUUCCCUCUGACCUUCUCCUGCCUUCCUGUCUUCCACCCCCUGCUUUUCCCCUGAAGUGAGUCCUGGAAGCCAGAAUUCUUCUUGCCCAAAGCAAGCCGUGACACCCUGGAAAUAUCACUCUAACCUUCCUUGCCUUUCCGUGUGGCAGCUGGCCAUGAAGAAAUUCUCUGACCUACCUUGUUUGAUAGCAGAUCACAAGACCCUGGUUCCAGAGCGGUCCUGCUUUACACCGAGGGAAAGGAAUGUCAUACAGAAAGGCCAAGAAGAAUCUGAAGAGAUGUCCAAUCACCUUUUCACGUGGCUGCCCAUUCUUCAUUGAACCUAAGCAUUAAAAUAGACAGUUUCCCCUGGGUCUUUGGGUCUUCAUUUCUGAAGACUCCAUGUCAUGUAAAACUUUGAUUAAAUAAAUGUAUCAUGCAUUA
RNAcentral lists this long non-coding RNA (1015 nucleotides) under Homo sapiens (human). RNAcentral's name for it is "HSALNT0351947". Lineage: Eukaryota; Metazoa; Chordata; Mammalia; Primates; Hominidae. The record is from RNAcentral.